Molecule: ribosomal RNA, 253 nt
Filed under: uncultured bacterium
Lineage: Bacteria
Description: partial 16S ribosomal RNA
Rfam family: Bacterial small subunit ribosomal RNA
Source: RNAcentral
UACAGAGGUCCCGAGCGUUGUUCGGAAUUAUUGGGCGUAAAGGGCGCGUAGGCGGCCUUGUAAGUCAAAGGUGAAAUCCCUCGGCUCAACUGAGGAACUGCCUUUGAAACUGCAAGGCUUGAGGCCGGGAGGGGGUAGCGGAAUUCCCAAUGUAGCGGUGAAAUGCGUAGAUAUUGGGAGGAACACCAGUGGCGAAGGCGGCUACCUGGACCGGUUCUGACGCUGAGGCGCGAAAGCGUGGGUAGCAAACAGG